AAGUGCUAGACGGGGAGUUAGCGGUGCCCUGUAACCCGGAACCCGCUCUACCGGGGUUGAAUUCCCACUCGAGGGCUUAACGGUUGUCGGGAACCGACGGUAUGUCGAUGUUGAGGGUCGGGUCCUGUACAGCAGCGGCCUUCAAACCCCGCCAGGACCGGAAGGUAGCAACGGUACGAAGAUCCUUCUGUGUGUUGCAGGUUCUCCCGGUCUGAGUCGGUCAGCCAUACGCCCCGCUGAUUGUGGUUCGAAGGUGGGUGCACAU
Molecule: signal recognition particle RNA, 265 nt
Filed under: candidate division GN15 bacterium
Lineage: Bacteria
Description: signal recognition particle sRNA large type
Rfam family: Bacterial large signal recognition particle RNA
About the family: The signal recognition particle (SRP) is a universally conserved ribonucleoprotein involved in the co-translational targeting of proteins to membranes. Archaeal SRP consists of a 7S RNA and homologues of the eukaryotic SRP19 and SRP54 proteins. In most bacteria, the SRP consists of a 4.5S RNA and the Ffh protein (a homologue of the eukaryotic SRP54 protein).
Source: RNAcentral